AUUGCGCGGGCCUCUCCACUUCUAUAAAAAUUCAGGAAAAGCGUGCCAGUAACCCUAAAAGCUGGAGACAUUUUAAAUCGAGAGCGAGAGAGUUGGGGAGAGAGACGAAGAUGGUUAUUAUCAGAGUUUUGAAGAAAUUCCAUCAGGUUAUUGUGAACAACAAGGCGAUCGAUUUAGCAUUGGUUGCUGCAGUCAACGCAGCCGGGGUGGCCCCGUUUUGGAUUUAUAGUGGCAAGAAGAGUUGAUCCCUAGAUAAAACCGAGAUCUUGUUGUAUGUAAUGGAUGUAAAUGAUCCAAUGUAGUUUAAUUCUAUUUAGUUUAAUUAAUUAAUUAUCCCCCGUUUUUAAAUAUUUUUGUAGUUGGUUUAGCAUUCUUAAUUGUUUGAUUUGCGAAAUUAUAACAUUUAAUAUGGAC
This is a long non-coding RNA of Daucus carota subsp. sativus, 414 nucleotides long. RefSeq lists it as uncharacterized. The record is from RefSeq and is a predicted model, not a curated record. NCBI's taxonomy places the organism in Eukaryota, Viridiplantae, Streptophyta, Magnoliopsida, Apiales, Apiaceae. The transcript has 2 exons.